CGCAGAGUACAUGGGCAGCCAGCUUUGAUGAGCACGACUUCAUCUGUAACGACCACGCGGGGCAGAAAACAUCCCGAGCAAGACUUUAUCGUAAGUUAGACCUAGCGAAUCCGGAUAAUCUCGAUCCUGUCAAAGCGGCGGUGAAAUGUCUCCUCCCUUUCAUAUCACAGCCACUUUGAUGUGGUCGGUUUACUGAGAACGGCCCAGGGUCAUGAAUAUAUAUUAAUCUCGUACGUGUCAGUCCAUGGCCCACUCGUAAAAAUGGCUGUGUCGUGUAGCAACCCUCAUAUCACAGCCAUUUUUGACGAGUUGGGCUGUGUGACGUAUCACCGAUAGGACAAAUAAAAAAAGAAGAAGUGUCUCUUCUAGGCGGCGAAUGUUUCGUCGCUCACAAAGUGGUUGUCGUAUGCGUUUUUACUUUGGCCAUAUCACAGCCAGCUUUGAUGAGCGAUGAACUUCAGAAUCCUUCGACUCAGAUCUUUUCAGAAGCGACGUUGAGUAGCGCUAGAACUCG
This 514-nucleotide precursor RNA is filed under the name Bombyx mori (domestic silkworm). RNAcentral's name for it is "precursor microRNA miR-chr1_263". The stretch from base 250 to 314 matches the Rfam family "mir-2 microRNA precursor family". The record is from RNAcentral. Lineage: Eukaryota; Metazoa; Arthropoda; Insecta; Lepidoptera; Bombycidae.